This 322-nucleotide unclassified non-coding RNA is filed under the name uncultured fungus. RNAcentral describes it as "partial contains 18S rRNA, ITS1, 5.8S rRNA, ITS2 and 28S rRNA". The record is from RNAcentral. Lineage: Eukaryota; Fungi.
AAGGAUCAUUAUCGAACUAGAGUCCAGAGGGGAAAAGGAGAGCGGGCGAAGUUUGUAGAAUGUUAGAGAUUGUCGCUGGCCUUUGGAAACGAAGGCAUGUGCACGUCUCGAGAUCUACUUAGUCCUCGAUCUCUUUUCCUUUCGGGAAGCUUUUUCCUACACCUGUGCACCCGUUGUAGGUCCCGCGAGGGAUCUAUGUUUUUCAUCCACACCAAUCGUAUGGCCAGAAUGUUUUUUAAUGCGUCGAUCGGCAUGGCCUCGGUCAUGUUGGCGACGGUAAAGAAAUCAAAUACAACUUUCAGCAACGGAUCUCUUGGCUCUC